UCCCUGAUGGUCCAGUGGCUAAGACCUCGUGCUCUCAAAUGCAGGGGCCCGGGUUCGAUCCCUGGUCAGGGAA
RNAcentral lists this transfer RNA (73 nucleotides) under Bos taurus (domestic cattle). It matches the Rfam family "tRNA". Rfam says of the family: Transfer RNA (tRNA) molecules are approximately 80 nucleotides in length. The record is from Rfam by way of RNAcentral. Lineage: Eukaryota; Metazoa; Chordata; Mammalia; Artiodactyla; Bovidae. RNAcentral also lists the same sequence under 1 other name.